UACGGAGGGGACUAGCGUUGUUCGGAAUUACUGGGCGUAAAGCGCACGUAGGCGGAUUUGUAAGUCAGGGGUGAAAUCCCGGGGCUCAACCCCGGAACUGCCUUUGAUACUGCGAAUCUCGAGUCCGGAAGAGGUGAGUGGAAUUCCUAGUGUAGAGGUGAAAUUCGUAGAUAUUAGGAAGAACACCAGUGGCGAAGGCGGCUCACUGGUCCGGUACUGACGCUGAGACGCGAAAGCGUGGGGAGCAAACAGG
Molecule: ribosomal RNA, 253 nt
Filed under: uncultured bacterium
Lineage: Bacteria
Description: partial 16S ribosomal RNA
Rfam family: Bacterial small subunit ribosomal RNA
Source: RNAcentral